UGCUAUCAGGAAACGGGACUCCCUUUCUCCUGGGACCCAAAACAAACAUUUCUGCUCUCCUGUUUCUCUGUUUCUCCUGACCGCGCCCCACCCGGUUUGGAGGUCCACACGUGCCUUAAACCCAGGUCCCUGGCUGCAGAGAGAAGGGGAGGUCCACGAGGAAGGGAUGAACUGGGCUGAAGAGGCUCUUUCGUUUUCGGAACGGGAGGCCUCCGCGGGCAUUUGCAGUUUCCGCCGCCCGUUGCAGCUCGAGAGGGUCUCGUUGCAGAAGCGUUUGGAGAAGGACGCAGCAGGACGCGUGUAGCCAGAACCACACAAUCACGAAAUAGCCAGGACUCCCUCGCUGCCCCUUCUGCCGCCGCCCCCCCAAUAUCGGGGGGGGGGCUCGUUUUGAAGCAGGAAAGGAAAAACAAAAGAGAUAUUUUCCUUGGGAGUGACGAGGGGGGAAGAAAGAGAAUCUUCGGGUUUUUUUUAAAAGCUGCCUUGGUUUUUCUGAUGGCCACCAUCCGAUCCAGCCAAGUGGAAAAGUUUCUCCACUUUCUCAGCCCAUGUCUCCAGCAGAAAAUUUGGGGAUUCCUCGAGGACUUUGGCAUAUGCACCAUUAAUAAACAAAUGAAAAAUAAAUAAAACAACCUUCCCACAGCAAUCUCCUGUUUUAAACAUGAUUUACACUCUGAACUUGUUCAGGCGAUUAACAAAGGCAGAAGGUAGAAAGAAUCCCGAAAAUCUGUACAAGAAAAUCUAUUCUGUGAGCCCCGGUCGCUUUCGGAGAAAAAGAAAGGAAAGGAAAAAGGAAAGGAAAGAAAAACGCUACCUAUUUAAAAUGCGAAUUUAUUAUUUCCUGCCAGCAGAGAGGGCGGACAAAGUUGAUUUUUGCAAUUCUCUAACUGCAUCUGAGCUUAGUCUUCUAAUGCCCGUGGGGGUGAGGAAAGAAAGGUGGAAAAAUCCCUUUCGGAGUCCCCCGCUAAGCCCAAACUGACCGGC
RNAcentral lists this long non-coding RNA (984 nucleotides) under Salvator merianae (Argentine black and white tegu). Its description in RNAcentral is "lncRNA (ENSSMRG00000009601.1)". Lineage: Eukaryota; Metazoa; Chordata; Lepidosauria; Squamata; Teiidae. The record is from RNAcentral.